Long non-coding RNA from Rhagoletis zephyria (snowberry fruit fly), 443 nucleotides. RefSeq lists it as uncharacterized. The record is from RefSeq and is a predicted model, not a curated record. Lineage: Eukaryota; Metazoa; Arthropoda; Insecta; Diptera; Tephritidae.
CCUAAUGUUUUAAUAUUUCGAUUAACGAAAAAUUAACCGAACUUGUAUUUGUAGCUCAUUUCGGUGGAACGAAUUCAAAGUUGGCAAAUUAAAUCUUCGAAUCCUUGUUAAGUACAAAUCAGUGGUAAACUCUUUUAGUCUGUAAGGUGUUAAAAACAACAGCAAGUGAGUAUGCAUUGCAUAUUUUUAGGACAAUCAGACAUGUUCUGCAAAUCGGUGCGAUUUGCAAAGUAUUGUUGUGUAUUUGUAAUCAAAGUAUUAAAUUUUUCAAAUGGAAACUGCUAGAAACACAUCAUUUACGUUAUAUCCAUCGAUUUCAUGCCAAAUUUUUACCUCUUUGUUAUAAAUCUUCCGAAAUAGAUUUUAUAAAUCGCACCGAUUUGAAAUCGUACGAUUUGCAGAACACGCCCGAAUACAUUUUUUUCCAACUAACUCAAUGUGUG